RNAcentral lists this ribosomal RNA (292 nucleotides) under uncultured bacterium. RNAcentral's name for it is "partial 16S ribosomal RNA". It matches the Rfam family "Bacterial small subunit ribosomal RNA", at positions 505 to 796 of the family's 1533-position model. The record is from RNAcentral.
GUGUCAGCAGCCGCGGUAAUACGGAGGAUCCAAGCGUUAUCCGGAUUUAUUGGGUUUAAAGGGUGCGUAGGCGGACCUUUAAGUCAGUGGUGAAAGUUUGCGGCUCAACCGUAAAAUUGCCAUUGAAACUGAAGGUCUUGAGUGUAAAUAAGGUAGGCGGAAUGUGUUGUGUAGCGGUGAAAUGCUUAGAUAUAACACAGAACACCAAUUGCGAAGGCAGCUUACUGGGAUACAACUGACGCUGAGGCACGAAAGCGUGGGGAUCAAACAGGAUUAGAAACCCUCGUAGUCC